RNAcentral lists this long non-coding RNA (1087 nucleotides) under Homo sapiens (human). Its description in RNAcentral is "HSALNT0110039". The stretch from base 531 to 627 matches the Rfam family "mir-544 microRNA precursor family". The record is from RNAcentral. Lineage: Eukaryota; Metazoa; Chordata; Mammalia; Primates; Hominidae.
CCCACAGCUGCCAAGUUCAGGUGAAAAGAACUCACUUAUAUUACUUGAAAAAUAGCAAUGAUUAAGUUACUCGUUAAACAUAUUUCUACACAAUCAAUGCACAAGAAUGUAAUUCCUGAGUACAUUUCCAUGUAAUGUUUGCCGAAAUAUAUUUUUAUUAAUUUUUAUUUUAUUUUAUAUACUAUGUAAUAUAUAUUUUACAUACUUUUUAUAAACAAGAAUAUGAAAUAAUGGAUAGUGUUUCUGUUAUCACAGAUAAAUAAAUCAUACAAAUCACAAUCAUUUUUGUAAAUAAAAACCAGAGGAAUUCCUAUAAUCAAGAAAAAUGGUUCUGCAUGUUAGCCACAUAUUGAAAUCACCUGGCAUAUUUUUAAAACACUACCAGGACCCCAUCUGGAGAUUUUAAUUUAAUUGGUUUAGAAUGGGCCUGGGCAUAGGAAUUUGAAAAGUUCCUCAGGUGAUUUUCAUGUGCACCAAGAGUCAGAAAUGCUGACCAAGAGCACAGCUUCUCAAACUCUAAUGUGUAUAUAACCACCUGGGGACCUUGUUAAACUGCAGUUCUAGUUCAGUAGGUCCAGGGUAAGGCCUGAGAUUCUGCAUUUCUAACAGGCUCCCAGGUGAUGCUGAGCUGCUGGUCCCCAGAGCACUCAUUGUGGAACAAGAAUUUAUGAUUCUUAGCUCAGGAAAAGGACAGACAUUGGGAUCAUUAAGGCGUUUGAGUUGAAACUACCUAUAGUCUCCUAACCCCAAUCUAAACAGAUACCCAGUGCCCCAACUCCGAGUGCCAGUAUAUUUCACCUUUCAGAGGAAACUUGUUGCUGAAGGUCAUUAAAUCUGGUUUCUGGCACAAUCACUAGAAGGCUGCAAUGAGCCUUUAAAAUAUACAGUCACUAAUAUAAGUUGCAGACUGGUAUAUUUCAUAGGAAGAACCUGCUUACAACAGGCAUUUUUUAAAAAAAAAAGCAGCUCUGCAUUGUUAAGCUUCUACCGUAUGUAUUGAGCUUGAUGCCAGCAAGAAUGCUAAGUGGGGCCUUUACUCUGAUUGGACAUAUUCAUGACAUUUGUCCAAAGAAAAGAUAAGCUGAGU